Molecule: unclassified non-coding RNA, 2251 nt
Organism: Acanthaster planci (crown-of-thorns starfish)
Lineage: Eukaryota; Metazoa; Echinodermata; Asteroidea; Valvatida; Acanthasteridae
Source: RefSeq, a predicted model, not a curated record
CACAAUCAGUUCCCGUUCAAAUCCUGAAACGUGAAUUAACAUCCCAGCUGCCCUCGUCUUGGUUCCAAGACCUCCCUGUGAUCUCUAGUAGGAGUUCAACAGUAUGCAUUAAUGCAAGCGUGCCUACAACUUAACAGAAGCCGUCUCUACCUCAUCAAUUCUUCUCAUAAUCAGGCAGAAACCAACGUAGCGCCCUUCCAACAUGGUUAUGUUCUGGAAAGUAACCUGUGCUUUGGCAAUGUCUGGGUUUACGCUCGUCCGUGGAGUACCACUACAGGUUACACACAAACCCUCCAUGGACUCGACAACCCCAACCCCGGCACCAGGCACUUCUAUAGAUCAGGCUAGUCUGGAUAUGAACAAAAUUUGCCAGGACAACGACAAAACGACGGUCUACGAAAAGGCUUUACAGAUGUGCAUAUCCUGUUUUUCUUGUGACCCCGAAUCUAAGGACGACCACUGUGUUACAUGCCGAGAUUUCAGGAGAAACCAAUCAGCGCCCGGGAAAUUCCAGUUGAAGCUGUAUGUGACGAAUAUGGAUCAGUUUCUUAUAUCAUACGUGACAGAUAUAAUCGCUUCUACGGGACGUACUAGAACUGUUACCGUUGAUAACGGCCGCGGUUGAUGCAUUUGAAAAAGAAGCGAAAUUUAGGGAUCAUUCCUGGCAAACCAUGGAGGAAGGAACACAGCAAACCAACCACCUCUCCCGGACCUGUCACCCUCACUGUUGCGUACGGUGGGGCAGACGGGGAUGAUACAGACGGUCACGGAGGCAGUGACACCGAUAUCGACGCAGGAGGAACGCUUCAGGACGUCAAUAUAGGAAGUACAGUUCCACCCCAAGGUCCUCCACAAAGUGACUUGGAAAACCCACAGGCCCAAAAUGGUUCACCAGGAUUAGGUGUGCCACUGAUAACUGCCAUUGUCGUCGUAGUCGUUGCAAUUCCUAGUUGUAUGCUCGGGGCAUUCGUCUUCCAGAGGAGACAUGCCCCAUUUCAGCGUUUGCCUGUGCAGGAGACGAACCCACCUGAUCCAACCACCCCAUUUACAUGUACCAGUGGGGAUCUGACGGGCUUUAUACCGCCGAAUCAUGAAUUCUCAGAGAGUGAGGCCAGCCUUUAGGGAAUCAACAACCAAAGCUCUGAUUUUUUCAGUUUCCUUUUCUGUGUAGGGCCAAUACGUACUUCCCGUUGCGUUUCUAAAGGUGAAAAAGAUGGGAAAUAUAAAAGCAAAACAGUAAAAAAUGUUCACUGAGCCAGCUAGUAUUUGCGUUUUCUUGCAAAAUGAAGGGCUUCCGAGACAACCUCAACUCCAUUGGCUGCGUGCACGUUCCUUCACUUUGAUCCCCAAAAACAUGGCGUGGCAAGAUCAUACCCGGAGAACGAGGUUGCGUCUGAGGUUGUUAGGGAUGGCGCUAUUUGUUCUCGCUUUUAACCUUGCACUUCUGAAAUACCGAAAUGACUUAUUGGUUCCUAACUACGCAAGAAGAAAUAAGUAUCUGAAGAUCUACAGGGUUGGGAGUUUUACGUUAAAAACACUAAAAAAUAUUAAACAAAAAAAUGGCUAUUUCCAAUUCAGAAUCUGCCCAGCGAUAAAUACGUGAUUGCGUACCGAGGGAUGAGGUCCCCUUGGAUAUUGACCCAAUUGAAGGGGAAACUUUAUGAACAGGUACCGUCACAUGGUUGGGCUUGGCCUACAACAAGUAGUUGUAGGCCAAUUUCCCUGUCGCAGAGAGGAGAUUUACAUUUUCUUUUUACAGGAGAAUAUUAUAGAGUACAUGUACUAAGUGGAUAUGUCACAUAUGAGCGUGCAUUAAUCUCCAUUCUAAAGUCUUGAUGAUGGAGAUCAAUGUUAGUGCAAGAACUAGUGCGUAAACCAACACAGAAUACGCACGUGUGCAUGUAUAGAGGGGCUCGUGGGGUACUGGAACAAUGGAAGAUACCCCACAAGGCCAGUUUUGAGUACUAAAAUGGUACCCCACAAGAUUUUCACAUAACAGAUAUUUCAAAUUUACUCAAAAAAGGAGGAAUUUUCGAGUGUCAUUCAUCGUAACAAAAUGAAGUAUUUUAAAUAGGGGACGUUCAGUCGAAUUUCCAUGGUAGGAAAGUGAAUAUUGUUCGAAUGAGAGUGAUUUGAAAUUUUUUGCGUGUUGUGUGGAAGUGGAAGUUUGUUCACGAGAACAAAGAAAAUACCCACAAGUAUAGCUGUGUAAGAGAGUUUUUUCUGCAUUCAGUUAAGUCUUCUAAAAAAG